This 88-nucleotide transfer RNA is filed under the name Rhodospirillaceae bacterium. Its description in RNAcentral is "tRNA-Ser". It matches the Rfam family "tRNA". From Rfam's summary of the family: Transfer RNA (tRNA) molecules are approximately 80 nucleotides in length. Their secondary structure includes four short double-helical elements and three loops (D, anti-codon, and T loops). RNAcentral also lists the same sequence under 1 other name. The record is from RNAcentral. Lineage: Bacteria; Pseudomonadati; Pseudomonadota; Alphaproteobacteria; Rhodospirillales; Rhodospirillaceae.
GGAGGGGUGGCCGAGUGGCUUAAGGCGCACGCUUGGAAAGCGUGUUUACUGAAAGGUAACCGGGGUUCGAAUCCCCGUCCCUCCGCCA